RNAcentral lists this long non-coding RNA (1333 nucleotides) under Triticum aestivum (bread wheat). RNAcentral describes it as "long non-coding RNA (TAES_LNC027357)". Lineage: Eukaryota; Viridiplantae; Streptophyta; Magnoliopsida; Poales; Poaceae. The record is from RNAcentral.
UAAGAUAUCUGUGAUAUUUGCCGAAUUAUUAUUUGUAGGUUUGAAGUACCAAGGCACAAUGGCUGAUAGGGCACUGGAGGAACUGCACACCAUGGUUCAGACACCAACUUCCCUGAUGCGACCAACUCACCGGUUCAGUGAGCAUUGUAUCCUCUUACUGUUGCCAUAAUUACAUGCAUUUCACUUUUGCAUUAUAUGUGUACUAUUGCAUGGUAGUUGAACACGAAUUUGGGUUACUUGACAUCGUAAAAUAUGGUGGCUACUCUUGGAUCCGGUGAAUCUGGUGGUUCUGUUUAUAUUAUGUAUUGUGGGACUAUUGAGUUCACAACGCUUUCCAAAUACUCAUAUGUGAUUUCUUUUUUAUUUAUACUCGUGCAGAAAAAUAAAGAGCAUCUUGAUUCUUGUAUUGUUGAAGGCAGCUGUAGCUAAGGCUGGUUACACUAGAAGAUUUUUUUUGUCUAUACAUAGUUCAUGAUUCAGCCCUUGUGUACUAAUUCAUGUGUGACGGUUGGUCAUUGGACUGGAUGUUGCUGCUUCUGAAUAUUACGGUGAAAAGGAUCAGACUCAUCAACCUCGAUUUUCUUGUGUCUUGAAAUGCAGGUUUGGUUCAUCUAACACUAUAUUACGUCCAUUUGUCCAGUUCAUUUUUUUACCAUCUUGCAAUGCGAGGUGCAAGAGAGCAUGUGUUGUUCUAUGUCUUAUAUCCUGUUAAAUCCUAUAGGGGAACGACAUUGUAAGCUUGGUUAGUUUGAUGUCCUACGGAGAAGCAAAAUUGGUCGUGCCCACCGCCAGAAGAUUCAUCUUUGUACUCUCUUCUCCAUUUAUCAGUGCAACGAGAGGCAGAGUUAGUCAUGGUGAUGAUCAUAUUGUAUUCUUAUGAUGCUUGCAGACUGGGAGUGUAUUUAUACUUCAUGCUUAUGAGUUAUGAUGAAUCAUUUCUAUGGCAUUACAUACAGUCAGUGGGAAAAGGUCAUUAGGGACUAGCAUGUUUCACUAUUGUGAUUACAAACUAAAACUUGUGCAAGUAUGAUAAAUGGGUGCAUUGAUCUCUUUUUUGUUGUAGUGCAACACCUUGGAGAUGCACACAAUUUGAUAUUACAGUUCUAUAACAUCUUGGAGAUGCACACAAGUUGGUGCCUCUUUUUCUACUAUCAAUGAUGUUUGCUGCAGAGAUUUUACUUGAAUUCUGGUUCUUGGUUGAAAGCCCCUUGUCAUCAUAGUUUACUUGAAGGCAGCUUCACAAUGAUUCUCAUAAUGAGGGAGUCAUCUUUGGAAGCAAUAUUUCUAAGUUUUUUUAUUUAUAAAGAACCAUGUUAUAUUUGUUUUUUUUUUU